AGCAGUCGCCGCGGUAAUACGGAGGGAGCUAGCGUUGUUCGGAAUUACUGGGCGUAAAGCGCACGUAGGCGGCUUUGUAAGUUAGAGGUGAAAGCCUGGAGCUCAACUCCAGAAUUGCCUUUAAGACUGCAUCGCUUGAAUCCAGGAGAGGUGAGUGGAAUUCCGAAUGUAGAGGUGAAAUUCGUAGAUAUUCGGAAGAACACCAGUGGCGAAGGCGGCUCACUGGACUGGUAUUGACGCUGAGGUGCGAAAGCGUGGGGAGCAAACAGGAUUAGAUACCCCAGUAGUCCCUGUCUCUUAUAC
RNAcentral lists this ribosomal RNA (303 nucleotides) under uncultured bacterium. Its description in RNAcentral is "partial 16S ribosomal RNA". It matches the Rfam family "Bacterial small subunit ribosomal RNA", at positions 507 to 807 of the family's 1533-position model. The record is from RNAcentral.